Epinephelus fuscoguttatus (brown-marbled grouper) is the source of this 237-nucleotide long non-coding RNA. RefSeq lists it as uncharacterized. The transcript is spliced from 3 exons. Lineage: Eukaryota; Metazoa; Chordata; Actinopteri; Perciformes; Serranidae. The record is from RefSeq and is a predicted model, not a curated record.
AACAAAAUAAUUGGGACUCUCUAUGAAAUGCUGUCACGGUACACAAUGUAUCCAACCCACUCAGACUACAUACAGGUCAUCAAAGCACUGAUUGUGAAGUAUCCUUUCUUAAGGGACGUUCACGGGAAUGGUUAUCAUACCUGGCACAGCCAACUCAAGAGAAAAUUUAAAGCAGAACGGGCUCCACUAAUCCACAGUGAGGAAGUAAAACAGGUCAAAGAGAAGUUUGGGCAAGCA